This 132-nucleotide small RNA is filed under the name Salmonella enterica. RNAcentral's name for it is "RtT sRNA". It matches the Rfam family "RtT RNA". Rfam says of the family: This family represents a bacterial cis-regulatory element known as RtT RNA. The exact function of RtT is unknown although it is thought that it may be involved in changing the cellular response in relation to amino acid starvation. The record is from RNAcentral. RNAcentral also lists the same sequence under 2 other names. Lineage: Bacteria; Pseudomonadati; Pseudomonadota; Gammaproteobacteria; Enterobacterales; Enterobacteriaceae.
GUUUGCACUUGUCGGGGAAGGGUGAGAAUCUUCGAUUAAGGUUCGACUCGAGCGAAAGCGAGAGAACGUUGCCAACGGCAACGGCCCGUAGGGUGAGGAGCGAAGCGACGAAUAAUCCUUCCCCCACCACCA